UACGUAGGGGGCAAGCGUUGUCCGGAUUUAUUGGGCGUAAAGAGCGUGUAGGCGGCUAGGUAGGUCCGUUGUGAAAACUCGAGGCUCAACCUCGAGACGCCGAUGGAAACCAUCUGGCUAGAGUCCGGAAGAGGAGAGUGGAAUUCCUGGUGUAGCGGUGAAAUGCGCAGAUAUCAGGAAGAACACCCGUGGCUAAGGCGGCUCUCUAGUACGGUACUGACGCUGAGACGCGAAAGCGUGGGGAGCGAACAGG
This 253-nucleotide ribosomal RNA is filed under the name uncultured bacterium. RNAcentral describes it as "partial 16S ribosomal RNA". It matches the Rfam family "Bacterial small subunit ribosomal RNA", at positions 524 to 776 of the family's 1533-position model. The record is from RNAcentral. RNAcentral also lists the same sequence under 1 other name.